Molecule: ribosomal RNA, 253 nt
Filed under: uncultured bacterium
Lineage: Bacteria
Description: partial 16S ribosomal RNA
Rfam family: Bacterial small subunit ribosomal RNA
Source: RNAcentral
UACGAAGGGGGCUAGCGUUGCUCGGAAUCACUGGGCGUAAAGCGCACGUAGGCGGACUCUUAAGUCGGUGGUGAAAUCCUGGAGCUCAACUCCAGAACUGCCUUCGAUACUGAGAGUCUCGAGUUCGGGAGAGGUGAGUGGAACUGCGAGUGUAGAGGUGAAAUUCGUAGAUAUUCGCAAGAACACCAGUGGCGAAGGCGGCUCACUGGCCCGGUACUGACGCUGAGGUGCGAAAGCGUGGGGAGCAAACAGG